RNAcentral lists this ribosomal RNA (253 nucleotides) under uncultured bacterium. RNAcentral describes it as "partial 16S ribosomal RNA". It matches the Rfam family "Bacterial small subunit ribosomal RNA", at positions 524 to 776 of the family's 1533-position model. The record is from RNAcentral.
GACGAACCGAGCGAACGUUGUUCGGAAUAACUGGGCUUAAAGGGCGCGUAGGCGGGCUGUCAAGUCUGGGGUGAAAUCCCGCGGCUCAACCGCGGAACCGCCUCGGAUACUGACGGCCUCGAGGGGGGUAGGGGCGAGCGGAACUAAUGGUGGAGCGGUGAAAUGCGUUGAUAUCAUUAGGAACUCCGGUGGCGAAGGCGGCUCGCUGGACCUCUUCUGACGCUGAGGCGCGAAAGCUAGGGGAGCAAACGGG